UGGAUCGUUCAUACCAUGUUGAACACUGCCCAUCCCAUCAGCACUGGGCACAUAAGCAACAUUGGGCCAGAUCAGUAGUACGGUGGGGGACCACGUGCGAACCCCUGGUGACGAUCUGU
Molecule: ribosomal RNA, 119 nt
Organism: Volvox carteri f. nagariensis
Lineage: Eukaryota; Viridiplantae; Chlorophyta; Chlorophyceae; Chlamydomonadales; Volvocaceae
Source: Rfam